This 609-nucleotide ribosomal RNA is filed under the name Triticum aestivum (bread wheat). RNAcentral's name for it is "partial small subunit ribosomal RNA". The record is from RNAcentral. Lineage: Eukaryota; Viridiplantae; Streptophyta; Magnoliopsida; Poales; Poaceae.
AUGAUAUACAAAACGUUGGUUAAAGUGGCUCGAGGAGAACUCUGGAAAGCAAGACAGCUGAAAGAGUACAGGAGGGCAAAUGGAUUGUGCUACAGUUGUGGAGAUAAGUUCACUCCAGGACAUGUGUGCUCCACUGCAGAGGAACAGCAAGUGGAAUGUGCAACAAUUUCUGUCCAAGCUUUGUCAGGUGCUUCUCACCCCAAGACCAUCCAGUUCAGACCUUUGAUUGGGAAUCAGUUCAGACCUCCCGCGCCGCGCCGGAGCAGCCCGGAGUCAGGUCCGGCCGGAUCUGACCAGGACGCCACACGCACGCACCCACCCGAGGAGAGCUCCUCGCAGCCGCCGCGCUACAGGCAAACCACAGAGCGCCGCCGCCCUGCCCCGCCGCCGUCGCGCCGAAGGGCCCCGCGUCAGUCUCCGCCCCUGCCCGUGUCACCGUCCGGCGUCGGCUGCACACGUAGCAGAAAGGAGCCAAGGCCCCGUCGCCGCCUACGCCUGCGGGGCUUUGUCCGACGGCGCCUUGUGGCAGCGGCGGCGGGGGAGGAACGCCGGGAGUGGGGACGAAGGCGGCUGCCGCUAGGGAUUGCCCCCGGUCGCCCGCGGGGGUGA